Molecule: ribosomal RNA, 429 nt
Filed under: Pseudomonadota bacterium
Lineage: Bacteria; Pseudomonadati; Pseudomonadota
Description: Proteobacteria bacterium partial 16S ribosomal RNA
Rfam family: Bacterial small subunit ribosomal RNA
Source: RNAcentral
UGGGGAAUAUUGGACAAUGGGCGAAAGCCUGAUCCAGCCAUGCCGCGUGUGUGAAGAGGGUCUUCGGAUUGUAAAGCACUUUAAGUUGGGAGGAAGGGCAGUAAGCGAAUACCUUGCUGUUUUGACGUUACCGACAGAAUAAGCACCGGCUAACUCUGUGCCAGCAGCCGCGGUAAUACAGAGGGUGCAAGCGUUAAUCGGAAUUACUGGGCGUAAAGCGCGCGUAGGUGGUUCGUUAAGUUGAAUGUGAAAGCCCCGGGCUCAACCUGGGAACUGCAUCCAAAACUGGCGAGCUAGAGUAGGGCAGAGGGUGGUGGAAUUUCCUGUGUAGCGGUGAAAUGCGUAGAUAUAGGAAGGAACACCAGUGGCGAAGGCGACCACCUGGGCUCAUACUGACACUGAGGUGCGAAAGCGUGGGGAGCAAACAGG